UCUAUGGAGAGUUUGAUCCUGGCUCAGGACGAACGCUGGCGGCGUGCCUAAUACAUGCAAGUCGAGCGGACGAUU
Molecule: ribosomal RNA, 75 nt
Filed under: Anoxybacillus sp. ST4
Lineage: Bacteria; Bacillati; Bacillota; Bacilli; Caryophanales; Anoxybacillaceae
Also listed under: 1 other name
Description: partial 16S ribosomal RNA
Rfam family: Bacterial small subunit ribosomal RNA
Source: RNAcentral